GAUUAACGCUGGCGGCGUGCCUAAUGCAUGCAAGCCGAACGGCUCGAUUUAUCGAGCAGUGGCAAACGGGUGAGUAACACGUAAGAACCUACCCUCAAGUGGGGGAUAACCCCGAGAAAUCGGGGCUAAUACCGCAUACGCUCUCUGAUUCUGUCAGGGAGGAAAGUUGAGGCGCUUGAGGACGGGCUUGCGUCCGAUUAGCUUGUUGGUGAGGUAAUGGCUCACCAAGGCUGAGAUCGGUAGCUGGUCUUAGAGGAUGAUCAGCCACACUGGGACUGAGAUACGGCCCAGACUCCUACGGGAGGCAGCAGCAGGGAAUAUUGCGCAAUGGGUGAAAGCCUGACGCAGCAACGCCGCGUGGGGGAUGAAGGCCCUCGGGUCGUAAACCCCUUUUCUCAGGGAAGAUGAUGACGGUACCUGAGGAAUAAGUCUCGGCUAACUACGUGCCAGCAGCCGCGGUAAGACGUAGGAGGCGAGCGUUAUCCGGAAUUAUUGGGCGUAAAGGGCGUGUAGGCGGCUCUUCAAGUCUUUGGUGAAAUCUCCCGGCUUAACCGGGAGGGUGCCAGGGAAACUGGAGGGCUUGAGGGCAGCAGAGGGGGGUGGAAUUCCCGGUGUAGUGGUGAUAUGCGUAGAUAUCGGGAGGAACACCAGUGGCGAAGGCGGCCCCCUGGGCUGUUCCUGACGCUGAGGCGCGAAAGCGUGGGGUGCAAACAGGAUUAGAUACCCUGGUAGUCCACGCCGCAAACGAUGGAUACUAGGUAUGGGGGG
This 768-nucleotide ribosomal RNA is filed under the name uncultured bacterium. RNAcentral describes it as "bacterial SSU rRNA". It matches the Rfam family "Bacterial small subunit ribosomal RNA", at positions 28 to 829 of the family's 1533-position model. The record is from RNAcentral.